Molecule: ribosomal RNA, 772 nt
Filed under: uncultured Neocallimastigales
Lineage: Eukaryota; Fungi; Neocallimastigomycota; Neocallimastigomycetes; Neocallimastigales
Description: partial large subunit ribosomal RNA
Rfam family: Eukaryotic large subunit ribosomal RNA
Source: RNAcentral
UAGAGAGAGACAUGCGCGCAUAUCAAUAAGCGGAGGAAAAGAAACUAACAAGGAUUCCCUUAGUAACGGCGAGUGAAGCGGGAAGAGCUCAAAUUUGAAAUCUUCAAGGUUUUACCUUGACGAAUUGUAGUUUAAAGAAGUGUUUUCUGCUGAAGUUUUGGUAAAAGUUCUUUGGAAUAGGACAUCAUAGAGGGUGAGAAUCCCGUAUUUGACCAUUAUUUUCAGCUUUGUGAUACACUUUCAAAGAGUCGGAUUGCUUGGGAAUGCAGUCCAAAAUGGGUGGUAAAUUUCAUCUAAAGCUAAAUAUUGGCGAGAGACCGAUAGCGAACAAGUACCGUGAGGGAAAGAUGAAAAGAACUUUGAAAAGAGAGUUAAACAGUACGUGAAAUUGUCAAAAGGGAAGCGUUUGACACCAGUGUUGUUUUCUCGAAAAUCAAUUAAAAAUGGCUCGAUUUUGUUUGUUGAGACCUUAAAAGCUCACUGUACAUUUUUCGUGUCUUUUUUAAUGCACUUUUCGUUUAACAAGUCAACAUCAGUUUCUUUGUUGUAAAAGGGUCAUUGGAAGGUGGCUUUCUUUCGGAGAAAGUGUUUAUAGCCUUUGGCCUCUGCAAUCGGAGAGACUGAGGUCUGCAGCGUAGACUCUUCGGGGUUAGAUACAUUUGUGCUAAGUUAUAGCUUUUUAUAGACAACUUGUUGACUAUAAUUAGUCUUGUAGCUUACUCGCUUAUGCUAUUUUACCUACGCUUAGGAUGUUGAGUCGUAGAGCACGCAG